This 208-nucleotide ribosomal RNA is filed under the name uncultured bacterium. Its description in RNAcentral is "partial 16S ribosomal RNA". It matches the Rfam family "Bacterial small subunit ribosomal RNA", at positions 568 to 774 of the family's 1533-position model. The record is from RNAcentral.
CGCGUAGGCGGAUCUUUAAGUCGGGGGUGAAAGCCCAGGGCUCAACCCCUGGAAUUGCCUUCGAUACUGAAGAUCUCGAGACCGGAAGAGGUAAGUGGAACUGCGAGUGUAGAGGUGAAAUUCGUAGAUAUUCGCAAGAACACCAGUGGCGAAGGCGGCUUACUGGUCCGGUUCUGACGCUGAGGCGCGAAAGCGUGGGGAGCAAACA